AUUAGUGGCGAACGGGUGAGUAACACGUGAGUAACCUGCCCUUGACUUCGGGAUAACUCCGGGAAACCGGGGCUAAUACCGGAUAUGAGCCGCCUUCGCAUGGGGGUGGUUGGAAAGUUUUUCGGUCAGGGAUGGGCUCGCGGCCUAUCAGCUUGUUGGUGGGGUGAUGGCCUACCAAGGCGACGACGGGUAGCCGGCCUGAGAGGGCGACCGGCCACACUGGGACUGAGACACGGCCCAGACUCCUACGGGAGGCAGCAGUGGGGAAUAUUGCACAAUGGGCGAAAGCCUGAUGCAGCGACGCCGCGUGAGGGAUGAAGGCCUUCGGGUUGUAAACCUCUUUCAGCAGGGAAGAAGCGCAAGUGACGGUACCUGCAGAAGAAGCGCCGGCUAACUACGUGCCAGCAGCCGCGGUAAUACGUAGGGCGCAAGCGUUGUCCGGAAUUAUUGGGCGUAAAGAGCUCGUAGGCGGUUUGUCGC
RNAcentral lists this ribosomal RNA (480 nucleotides) under Cellulosimicrobium sp. RNAcentral's name for it is "bacterial SSU rRNA". It matches the Rfam family "Bacterial small subunit ribosomal RNA", at positions 91 to 586 of the family's 1533-position model. Lineage: Bacteria; Bacillati; Actinomycetota; Actinomycetes; Micrococcales; Promicromonosporaceae. The record is from RNAcentral.